CCAAUAGCGUAUAUUAAAGUUGUUGUGGUUAAAAAGCUCGUAGUUGAACCUUGGGCCUGGCUGGCCGGUCCGCCUCACCGCGUGUACUGGUCCGGCCGGGCCUUUCCCUCUGUGGAACCCCAUGCCCUUCACUGGGUGUGGCGGGGAAACAGGACUUUUACUUUGAAAAAAUUAGAGUGCUCCAGGCAGGCCUAUGCUCGAAUACAUUAGCAUGGAAUAAUGAAAUAGGACGUGCGGUUCUAUUUUGUUGGUUUCUAGGACCGCCGUAAUGAUUAAUAGGGACAGUCGGGGGCAUCAGUAUUCAAUUGUCAGAGGUGAAAUUCUUGGAUUUAUUGAAGACUAACUACUGCGAAAGCAUUUGCCAAGGAUGUUUUCAUUAAUCAGGAACGAAAGUUAGGGGAUCGAAGACGAUCAGAUACCGUCGUAGUCUUAACCAUAAACGAUGCCAACCAGCGAUUAGCCUGAGUUCCUUAAAUGACUCGGCUAGCAGCUUCCG
RNAcentral lists this unclassified non-coding RNA (496 nucleotides) under uncultured Paraglomus. Its description in RNAcentral is "SSU rRNA". It matches the Rfam family "Eukaryotic small subunit ribosomal RNA", at positions 591 to 1092 of the family's 1831-position model. Lineage: Eukaryota; Fungi; Glomeromycota; Glomeromycetes; Paraglomerales; Paraglomeraceae. The record is from RNAcentral.